GUCCCAGACUCCUACGGGAGGCAGCAGUGGGGAAUAUUGCACAAUGGGGGAAACCCUGAUGCAGCGACGCCGCGUGAGUGAAGAAGUAAUUCGUUCUGUAAAGCUCUAUCAGCAGGGAAGAAAAUGACGGUACCUGAGUAAGAAGCCCCGGCUAACUACGUGCCAGCAGCCGCGGUAAUACGUAGGGGGCAAGCGUUAUCCGGAUUUACUGGGUGUAAAGGGAGCGUAGACGGCAUGGCAAGUCAGAUGUGAAAGCCCGGGGCUCAACCCCGGGACUGCUUUGGAAACUGUUCAACUGGAGUGCUGGAGAGGUAAGCGGAAUUCCUAGUGUAGCGGUGAAAUGCGUAGAUAUUAGGAGGAACACCAGUGGCGAAGGCGGCUUACUGGACAGUAACUGACGUUGAGGCUCGAAAGCGUGGGGAGCAAACAGGAUUAGAUACCCUAGUA
RNAcentral lists this ribosomal RNA (447 nucleotides) under uncultured bacterium. Its description in RNAcentral is "bacterial SSU rRNA". It matches the Rfam family "Bacterial small subunit ribosomal RNA", at positions 328 to 792 of the family's 1533-position model. The record is from RNAcentral.